GACGAACGCUGGCGGCGUGCUUAACACAUGCAAGUCGAACGGUAAGGCCCUUCGGGGUACACGAGUGGCGAACGGGUGAGUAACACGUGGGUGAUCUGCCCUGCACUUCGGGGUAAGCCUGGGAAACUGGGUCUAAUACCGGAUAGGACUCCGGACUGCAUGGUCUGGGGUGGAAAGCUUUUGCGGUGUGGGAUGGGCCCGCGGCCUAUCAGCUUGUUGGUGGGGUGAUGGGCUACCAAGGCGACGACGGGUAGCCGGCCUGAGAGGGUGACCGGCCACACUGGGACUGAGAGACGGCCCAGACUCCGACGGGAGGCAGCAGUGGGGAAUAUUGCACAAUGGGCGCAAGCCUGAUGCAGCGACGCGGCGUGAGGGAUGACGGCCUUCGGGUUGUAAACCUCUUUCAGCUAUGACGAAGCGCAAGUGACGGUAGUAGCAGAAGAAGGACCGGCCAACUACGUGCCAGCCGCCGCCGUAA
Molecule: ribosomal RNA, 478 nt
Filed under: uncultured bacterium
Lineage: Bacteria
Description: partial 16S ribosomal RNA
Rfam family: Bacterial small subunit ribosomal RNA
Source: RNAcentral